UUCAUAUUAAAAUGAUGCUUUUACGACCUUUAAACUUUACAAACAAAAAAAAGCAGAAUUCUAUUUUUAGAAUUACAUGUAUAUGCAACUAACAUAAAAGUACGAGUUAUAUCAAGCGUUUGGAUUGACAUGUUUGAUCAUAGUACGCACGUGUCGUCAUACAUAUAUUCCAAUUUAUAAAAGAAAUUAAAAACAUGUUUUGGAACGCCUUGCCAUUGUUGACAUUCAAUCAAAAGUAUGUAUGAAACAAAUACUAGCAUGAUGCAUUGUGAUUAUAAAAUAACGACUUGAUUGUCAUAGACAUCAUCGUCACAGUAUUACCUGUACAAGUAGUUCCAAUAUCGACAUUUUAUUGUAUU
RNAcentral lists this long non-coding RNA (359 nucleotides) under Mytilus galloprovincialis (Mediterranean mussel). The record is from RNAcentral. Lineage: Eukaryota; Metazoa; Mollusca; Bivalvia; Mytilida; Mytilidae.